GGCCUCGUGGCGCAACUGAAUAGCGCAUCAGAUUUCGGCUCUGAGGGUUGGGGGUUUGAAUCCCUCCGGGGUCACGA
Molecule: transfer RNA, 77 nt
Filed under: Maribacter sp. 4U21
Lineage: Bacteria; Pseudomonadati; Bacteroidota; Flavobacteriia; Flavobacteriales; Flavobacteriaceae
Also listed under: 2 other names
Description: tRNA-Arg
Rfam family: tRNA
About the family: Transfer RNA (tRNA) molecules are approximately 80 nucleotides in length. Their secondary structure includes four short double-helical elements and three loops (D, anti-codon, and T loops).
Source: RNAcentral